Molecule: transfer RNA, 83 nt
Filed under: Methanobacteriota archaeon
Lineage: Archaea; Methanobacteriati; Methanobacteriota
Description: Euryarchaeota archaeon (seawater metagenome) tRNA-Arg
Source: RNAcentral
UGAAGAUGGUGAAAGGACUGUGACUUCGUGACCUCUUCCGACGAGGUCCCUAACUGCUGAAGGUACUGUCCCAUCACCUUCAC